GAAUUCUGAGUCGGAGAGGGUUCCGACUGCCUUAGGAUUGAGACAGACUCCUGUUAAUCUGAUAAAGGCUAUUCAAUUUGUCAUCUCAUCUGCUAUUGUCUGGAUACUUGGUGAGUCGAGAAAAUUAGUACGAAAAUGUCGGAAUUUUAGAAGACUUGCUAUACAAGAAUCGACUAAUGACAGACGCAAUGGAGGCUGACUUCCGUAAUUAUCUGCUGGUGCAAUUAGAGUUUCAACAAGGAUAACGCUGGAUCCGAGAUGCGUUACGCCAGUACGGGACUUUUACAAAUGGUUGUUGGUUCUUUCAUUACUGAAUGCAUAUAAGAAUCUACUGCAAGCUGCUAGGAAGGAGGAACCUGACCAGAUAAGUUACUUCAGGAAUCUGUUAUUUCUGUAAACCCAAGCUUGUUUGCUCUUCCCGAACAGAUCAGAAAGUUUCUUCAGAAAAUACAGCCCGGAAGAGCCCAAGGAAUUGAAUUU
This is a long non-coding RNA of Argiope bruennichi, 480 nucleotides long. RefSeq lists it as uncharacterized. Lineage: Eukaryota; Metazoa; Arthropoda; Arachnida; Araneae; Araneidae. The transcript has 3 exons. The record is from RefSeq and is a predicted model, not a curated record.